ACACAUAGUCGGCCCGCUCGGCCUCAUCGCACGCACGUCCCCCUGCGAGCGCUUUUCUUCGCCGCCACCGGCUCCCCCCUCAUCAUCGCUGCAUCCCGACCGCAACCCUACAUGGCGCUACCGGCCGGCACGAAUCUGCGCCGCCCGCCCGACAACCUUCCUCUAGCAACCGCGCAACAUCGGAUCGAGCUAUCCUCGGGUCCCUAACCUCGAUGGUCGUCACCAUCGGGGCAGGUGGUGGACUGGCGGCGUGGACGUGGUGCCUGGCGGGGGAGGGGAGUGCCGCACUGCGAGCCUCGCUCCGGCGGGUUGCACGCUCGCCUCGCCGUUACAGGAGUGGGCAGGCAGUGGUCACCAUGGCGCGGCCUGGGUGCCCGCUGUUCUCCUUGCGCACAUGGUGCCACGGCUGGAUCCGCAGCACCACCGCCCGCCGCCCGUGUCGGCGCUCCCACAGCCACGUUCCCGUCCACCGUCGCCCGCACCCGCCUGCGCUCAUCCAUAGCGGCGUUCUUAAUGGCUUCAGUGACCACGCCGCCUCGGCUGCGACCCAGGCCUGCUUGGCCGCUGGAUGGAUGGAUACCGGCACUACAGGGCACAGACUUCAUGCUCGUGCCGACGGACUUCAUCCUUGAUGCCCUGGCUGCGACCCAUAUUGAUUGGCCACCGACUGGAAGGGGACGUCCUGCUCCUCCCGACUAAGCUUGAUCGAUGUGGGGCGGUGGUACAGCCUGGUGUUUAGCAGGACCACAUGAGCGGUGACUAGCAUCCAGUAGGAGGCAGCAAGAAGCAGCGAAAACUCUGAGCUAGCUGCUAGCAAUGCACCCCCUCCGCUCUCAUCUAAGUACAUGGAUUUGCAAUGGCCAAACUACUCUCUUGUUUCUUUCUCUAGCGUUUCCAGUUUUCACUAACAAUCCGUAUUUGGUAAACCGUGAACCAUGUUCAUGAGUAUCCGCCCACAACCUGUUUGAUGAUAUGCACAUGAAGGAUUGAGAUACACUCUAAUUUUUAGGUCAAGCUCUUACCUCUGUUUAGAAAAUCAAUAUGAAGAAACAGGUGUAUCUGGUGUAUGAUCUACACUUAGAACAAGUGUAUCUGUUGUUCCAAGCUGCCGGCAUUGACGGCCAAAGAGUCGGCGAGGGUCCACGGUUCAUUUGUUUUCGUGGGGAUUAUUCAGUACAAUGCGAUCUACACUGAAGCCAAUCCGAUCCAGGUGAAAUCGGAAGUUGGUAGAUUAUUCCGACGACGGGGCUUUUACUUGUGCGGCUCUGUAUGUAUGCUUUCAACUUGAAAAUUGCCUGAUUUUAAUAUUUUAUCAAUUAUUGCUUGAUGAAAGACCAACCAGUUCAUGCCUAACAUUUGCGUCUCUACAUUUAUGCAGUACCAUUCCAUAGCUCUCAAGGCAUCAGGUCUGCUUUAGAGACAAACUCUCGCUCGGUUUAGUUUCCAUGUUGUGUUAUAUUCCGAUGAACUAUAUUCAUUACAAACGGUAAGCUGAAGUAGAUUAAUUAAAAAGGAUAAUAAAUUUGCUCAAUCCAUGGUCAGUUGCUGAACUGACCAGGAGCUGCACUUCAAGUAGCUAACUGUUCACUAUAAAAUAGCCAUAAAUUUGUUAGUGCUUAGGGUAUACAUCCACUCCGUGUCCUGUAUCUGAAUUUUGUGAUCUGGAAAAUUUUACCGGUUAUUUCAUAGUAAAAUUAUAGAGUUGUUCUCCCUCUAUUUUGCUAAUCUGCUCACUUGCUUACAGUAAAUAAAUAAUUAAAUUAUCAGGAGUGGUGAUUUCAAGGAAAAGAAACAAACACUUUGAGGUCUCUGCUAUCGCAUCCGUACUGGCAGUACAUGGUGACAUUUGUUGGUGCUCUAUUCAGUUCAGUGGAGAUUGCUCCUUCAGUCACCAUGCGAAUCCAUGUCUAGCAUGUUUAGUCACAUUGAACUCUUCCAACUUUUCUUAAGCUAUGUUGUACAGACACACAAGUUUGCUGCUGAAUAUGAAUCAAUUUAUUGUGAUUUUUCA
This is a long non-coding RNA of Triticum aestivum (bread wheat), 2011 nucleotides long. RefSeq lists it as uncharacterized. The transcript is spliced from 2 exons. The record is from RefSeq and is a predicted model, not a curated record. Lineage: Eukaryota; Viridiplantae; Streptophyta; Magnoliopsida; Poales; Poaceae.